RNAcentral lists this ribosomal RNA (403 nucleotides) under Verrucomicrobiota bacterium. Its description in RNAcentral is "Verrucomicrobia bacterium partial 16S ribosomal RNA". It matches the Rfam family "Bacterial small subunit ribosomal RNA", at positions 355 to 776 of the family's 1533-position model. The record is from RNAcentral. Lineage: Bacteria; Pseudomonadati; Verrucomicrobiota.
UGGGGAAUAUUGCACAAUGGGCGCAAGCCUGAUGCAGCAACGCCGCGUGAACGAUGAAGGUCUUCGGAUCGUAAAGUUCUGUUGCAGGGGAAGAUAAUGACGGUACCCUGUGAGGAAGCCCCGGCUAACUACGUGCCAGCAGCCGCGGUAAUACGUAGGGGGCUAGCGUUAUCCGGAUUUACUGGGCGUAAAGGGUGCGUAGGUGGUCUUUCAAGUCGGUGGUUAAAGGCUACGGCUCAACCGUAGUUAGCCUCCGAAACUGGAAGACUUGAGUGCAGGAGAGGAAAGUUGAAUUCCCAGUGUAGCGGUGAAAUGCGUAGAUAUUGGGAGGAACACCAGUAGCGAAGGCGGCUUUCUGGACUGCAACUGACACUGAGGCACGAAAGCGUGGGUAGCAAACAGG